RNAcentral lists this ribosomal RNA (468 nucleotides) under uncultured bacterium. Its description in RNAcentral is "partial 16S ribosomal RNA". It matches the Rfam family "Bacterial small subunit ribosomal RNA", at positions 28 to 507 of the family's 1533-position model. The record is from RNAcentral.
GACGAACGCUGGCGGCGUGCUUAACACAUGCAAGUCGAACGGAAAGGCCCUGCUUUUGUGUGUUGCUCGAGUGGCGAACGGGUGAGUAACACGUGAGUAACCUGCCCUUGACUUUGGGAUAACUUCAGGAAACUGGGGCUAAUACCGGAUAGGAGCUCCUGCUGCAUGGUGGGGGUUGGAAAGAUUCGGCGGUUGGGGAUGGACUCGCGGCUUAUCAGCUUGUUGGUGGGGUAGUGGCUUACCAAGGCUUUGAAGGGUAGCCGGCCUGAGAGGGUUAACGGCCACAUUGGGACUGAGAUACGGCCCAGACUCCUACGGGAGGCAGCAGUGGGGAAUAUUGCACAAUGGGCGGAAGCCUGAUGCAGCAACGCCGCGUGCGGGAUGACGGCCUUCGGGUUGUAAACCGCUUUCGCCUGUGACGAAGCGUGAGUGACGGUAAUGGGUAAAGAAGCACCGGCUAACUACGUG